Lagopus muta (rock ptarmigan) is the source of this 3609-nucleotide long non-coding RNA. RefSeq lists it as uncharacterized. The transcript is spliced from 4 exons. NCBI's taxonomy places the organism in Eukaryota, Metazoa, Chordata, Aves, Galliformes, Phasianidae. The record is from RefSeq and is a predicted model, not a curated record.
ACAAGUUGGACCUAGAUGGUAGUGUUUGUCCAGAUCUGGCUUUUAUUUUCUAACAGGUUGAAUCUGUUGUUUUAUUGCAGGCUUUGUUUUGUUUUGUUUUGUUUGUUUUGCAUUGAGAAUAUGUUUUUAUGAGAUAUGAAAUUGGCCACUGACUCUAACUAUUUUCUAAAGUCUGAUAUAGAUGUUUAAAAAUCCCCUUGGUAUCAAGGCUGUGCAGGGACUCUGCUCCAACUGCAGAGACUAGAAAACUGCUAAUAAAUGCAGUGCUUUCUGCUACUUAGAACACCUAGCUCUUCAACCUUUGGCUUUCCACCAUCCCACGGCUGUAGGACCCCUUGAAUUCAGCCGUGUUCUCCACCAUUUACCAAUAUGCUACUGUUGGACAUCAAGAAGUCAUUUCUUUGUGAAGUUUCCAAGCGGGUUGCAUUCUUUUCUUCUGCCAGCAGUACCUCUUCGUGUACCACUUCACCCAGAGAUUUUGUUUACCUAUAAAGUCAGUGUGAUGAAGUACUUCAUGCCAAGCCUUGAUGAGUCCUUUGUUUUUUUGACAGCCCUGGCCCACCACCCCACAGCCUUUCUUGAAGCAGAUUUCUGACAGCUGCUGCUGAAAUUGAUCUCCUGGGCUGGAGGAUGAGCAUCCAGAGCCCAAAGGAAAGAUCAGGGAAGCAGAAAGCUUUCCAUACCUCAUCGCUUUGUAGGGGUCAAUUGAAGGCUGGAAGUGAGACAAAAAGGAACUGGGAAGAAAGCAGAAGAAGAGAAAGAGAGAAGACAGAUAAACUUUUGUGCAGCCUCUUCUGACCCAGAGAUUAACUUGAGGUAUUUGAUCAUGAGACGCUAUUUAAGCUAAAAAAUUACUAAAUCUUUUCUGAAACCACCAGGCAAGCGUAUAUUUAAUGUAAUACAGGAUUCCAAUUCUUAAGUUAGUUUUAUUAUUUCAUUAAUUUUCCCUUUCAUUUCAAAGGCUUGCUGUCUUUCUGUUUACGUAAUGCUUAAAAUUUUGACAAACCCUUGUGGAUUUGCUCCAUGAAGACACACUCUUCUCCCCAUCAGGGAACACAGCUGUUUGGCUGCAACCUAGGAAGACUUCACCGUAGAUAAAUCUGCAAACUUCCCCCCACUGACUCAUGAAAGAUUCCACAGAAGCAUGUCAUCCAUAAUAAUCAGGGAUGGAGCCCGUCUCAGCUUUGCAUCUUUCUUACAGUCUGCAGAAGUUUGCUGAUCCCUCCGUGUGCCUGUGUGCCUGAAUGAGCAUGCAACAUCUGCACUGCAGUCCUGUUAUCUGAGGGCCAGUUGUAUAUACCAGAGGCUCAGCCCACCAUUCCGAACACUCAAUUUUCAUGACAGGUCCCUUCUGUACUUGCACGUUUCCAGCUGGGAGAUCACCACACAUUGCCUCCUGCUUAUCUAUUGCAGUAGAAAUGCUAAGUCACAGCCUGAACCAGUGACUGAGCACCUGGUGGGAAGGCAGGGCCAACCCAAGGAAGUUCAGCUGCAUGCAGUGUACCUGAGUGACCAGGUGAAGCCAAGAUCCACCCUUUCCUAGACCUCAUUUAAGGGUUGGCAGGGGGUACAAGGGUUUCUUGCUGGAGAUUUCUGCGUGCUGGAGGCCUUUCAAAUCCACAUCACACGCACUGCCAGUCUCCAGCAGGUUGCAGGAGGUUAGUGAGAGCAGGAAAUGGAAGGAAGGAUGGAAGAAAUGAAGACUCGUUGUAUUAGGCUGCUGCAGGAGAUGAAAGGGCAAAGCACGGCUAAGGAAAAAGAAAUUAUGAAAUGCUGAUUUACCUGAUAGAAGAGAUUGAAUCUGUGAAGAGUCUCUCUGUAUUGCAGGUUCUUCAUAUUUAUACUGAAAACAUCUGAGGGAGGUGACAAACUGAUAACAUUCGUAACUAUGGGCAGAUUUAACAAUGAAAUUAAACGCUAAUGGGUGCACACUAACCAUGGGUGGCCUAUUGCCGUUCAGAGCCAUCCAGAGACCCACAUGCCUGCAGUGAAUCUUUGCACUGCCUCUGGGCAUCAUCUGGGUAGAGAGGAUGAGAUGACAAAAUGGGGGCUCUGUUUGCUGGAAGCAAAAUUGUAAUAGAGCAAAAAACUUGCUUCAUUUCACCUUCCUCCUUCCAUCAAAUGCAUUAAAAGACAUUUGAGGACUUUAUGGGGCUCCAAAUCAGAUCUUUUGGCGGAGAGACUGCUGCUUAUGAAAAGCUGUUCUGAUUGCUAAAUACCCUGUUAAAAUGCAAAACUCCUCCCAAACAAAAGAUUUAAUAAAAGAUCAUUUUUCUUUUACUGCAUUUUUUACAAUCACUGCAGUAUAUGGUAUCCUCAGUGGUUUUACAGUCCCCUUGCCAUUGCCUUGAGUUUACUGGAUGUAGUAAUAUUUAUAGAGAGUACAGACAUCGUGCCCUGAACACAGUCUUCCAGCCAGCACCAAGUAUGAUUUACAGGAUGUUUGGGGUUUUUUUUGUCAUGAAAUUGGCCAGUAAAACAGAAGUUACCUUGUUUAUUAUUCACAAUUUUUCCCACUCUGAAACAUUCUGGUCAGCCUUCUUUGUUUCACUGAAAUUUCUGUGUAAAGGAUUUUUGCUUAUUGUUAUUACAUACAUGUCUCCUGGCACUUCGAAAUAGUUUCUGGCUUAUUUUUCCUGUUUCCAGGAUUGGGCUCUCUUAUAGUAAGCGUUGCUCAUUCACCCCAUCUUACCGUGGAAUAAAGCUGCUGCAAUGACCCAGCAGUGGCACAUCCAAGUCUUCAUUCACCUUAUUGCUCUUUGUGAAACGUAUAGUCUCUUGCACUGCGGGAAAAACUGUUGAUUGCAGCCAUCUUUGCUUCUGCUUGGUUUACUUCUUUAUGCGAUCAUCACUUUGGGCCUACAGGGAAAUGGGAAAUGUUUGUCCUGAUGCACUGCUCCUGGAGAAAAGGGCUUUCUCUAAAGCACUUCAGAUGUAUUCAUGUGGAGAAAAUGGCUGAAGCUCUUGUCAUCCUUUCCAUAUCAAGCAUCCCUCUAGCACUGUCAAAACCUCGUUAUAAAUGAAGCUGUCUCCCACAGAGGACGUUUUUAUAACCACAGGAGCUCAUGGUCAUAUUGCAGAGCUUCUUCUGGAAAGGACAGUGUUUCUUGCACGGAGCUAUAUUUUCCUUUUCUACAAUGAAAGCAGGAGUAAAGCACGUCCAAGGCUCAUAUUUACUUUUUCUUGGAUGCAUGGCAGCUCUUUAAAAUACAGGCAGAAUAGGUAAAUUAUAUAAUGAGAUGGGAAGUGCAAUUUCCAAACAGCAGAUACAUUGCAAACAAGAUUUAUGGCUUCAUAGUGUUUAUAGCUUCAGAAAUUUUUGAAUCAAUGGUAUUCACAUUUCUAAUAGCAAUAUUUUCUUGCUUCCUUAGUUGCCAGCUGCACCAGUUCAGUGCUAACUUAGCGUUACAGUUCAUCAUCUUUCUCCAAGCUACACGUUGCCUUGAGCAGCUCGGUGCACUCUCCUUGCUUUUGGGUGUAUAACGGGCCCCUUCAUUCAGGUUGUUACAAUCCACUUUAGGCUAAAUAAUGGCACGUGUAAAGAUUAUUUCUCAGAAGUGUGAGCACUGUGUUCUUACUUCACUUGGUCCUCUAUGAAGUGGAAUAAAC